GAUGAACGCUGGCGGCGUGCCUAAUACAUGCAAGUCGAGCGAACGGACGAGAAGCUUGCUUCUCUGAUGUUAGCGGCGGACGGGUGAGUAACACGUGGAUAACCUACCUAUAAGACUGGGAUAACUUCGGGAAACCGGAGCUAAUACCGGAUAAUAUUUUGAACCGCAUGGUUCAAAAGUGAAAGACGGUCUUGCUGUCACUUAUAGAUGGAUCCGCGCUGCAUUAGCUAGUUGGUAAGGUAACGGCUUACCAAGGCAACGAUGCAUAGCCGACCUGAGAGGGUGAUCGGCCACACUGGAACUGAGACAUGGUCCAGACUCCUACGGGAGGCAGCAGUAGGGAAUCUUCCGCAAAGGGCGAAAGCCUGACGGAGCAACGCCGCGUGAGUGAUGAAGGUCUUCGGAUCGUAAAACUCUGUUAUUAGGGAAGAACAUAUGUGUAAGUAACUGUGCACAUCUUGACGGUACCUAAUCAGAAAGCCACGGCUAACUACGUG
This 497-nucleotide ribosomal RNA is filed under the name uncultured bacterium. RNAcentral describes it as "partial 16S ribosomal RNA". It matches the Rfam family "Bacterial small subunit ribosomal RNA", at positions 28 to 507 of the family's 1533-position model. The record is from RNAcentral.